GUGAAUCAUCGAAUCUUUGAACGCAAAUUGCACUCUCUGGUAUUCCGGAGAGUAUGCCUGUUUGAGGGUCAGUUUAAAUAAAAAUCGGUGUGGUUGUUGCAUUUCGUGGUGACGCAGCGGAUUUGGGUCGUCUUGCCUUCGGUUAAGUGAACUAAAAUUGAGCAUGUUUUUUUUCGCACGUCUUUUAAUGAUUUUAC
RNAcentral lists this unclassified non-coding RNA (197 nucleotides) under Glomeraceae sp. RNAcentral's name for it is "partial contains 5.8S ribosomal RNA and internal transcribed spacer 2". The stretch from base 1 to 71 matches the Rfam family "5.8S ribosomal RNA", at positions 84 to 154 of the family's 154-position model. The record is from RNAcentral. Lineage: Eukaryota; Fungi; Glomeromycota; Glomeromycetes; Glomerales; Glomeraceae.